Molecule: long non-coding RNA, 260 nt
Organism: Prionailurus viverrinus (fishing cat)
Lineage: Eukaryota; Metazoa; Chordata; Mammalia; Carnivora; Felidae
Exons: 3
Source: RefSeq, a predicted model, not a curated record
GCAGCGGCACAGGUAGUGGCCAAGGACAAAGCCCUGACUCUCCAGGGGGACACACUGCGGGGAUGACAAACAUGAUAGGAGCCAUACAGGUCUCAUUUCCUAGUGCCCAGCUGUCGGAGCGAGGGACUGGGCGAGGUGGAAUUUGGGAGAACUCGGAGUCCGAUCGCACCUAUGUGCCUACAUCCUGCUUCAAAGGGUCCCCAUCAGUCUCCCUCUUUGGCUCACAGGGGACCGAGCAGACCUCAGAGCCAGGCAGGGAA